GCCUGCUGGUAGAAAUUCGCCAGUGACCUUCCCUGCCCUCUUUCUGCGGCCAGCCUUGCGGAGGAGACGCGUUCUGGCGACCUUUUGGGCUUCCUGGGAAUUAAAGAUACACGUCCUGAGACGGUGGCGUCCAUUUCUGCUAAAGGAACAGGCACAGACCGCAAACGUAGGACAGGUUGUGGUUUCAUUUGAAACCUGAAAGCUUGACAGCCCAGAGCAGUGCCUAACAUUUACAGUCACCUCACUCCCGACCAUGGCUUGGAAAAGGAGGACACUGUAACCAGUAUGCCCUGAUGGCUCUGCCAUCCUUCCUGUGACCUGAGUGGCCUCCCCUGCCCCCUCACCCCCUCUGGUCCAUCUCGGCUCUGUCAGUGCUGCACCAGGGGCCCUUCCUCUCUGCCUGCUGGCCAUCCUCACGAAGGCACGAGGGCUCAUGGCCUCUUGCCGAGGCUCCUGUGGCGUUCUCCUCAACAGCUUCCCUCUGCAUUGUCCCUGCUGCCACAGCGGUCAUCGUCCACAUGUUUCCUGUCCCUUCCUAAAUAAAAAGCUCAAGGACUCUU
This is a long non-coding RNA of Tupaia belangeri chinensis (Chinese tree shrew), 560 nucleotides long. RefSeq lists it as uncharacterized. NCBI's taxonomy places the organism in Eukaryota, Metazoa, Chordata, Mammalia, Scandentia, Tupaiidae. The transcript has 3 exons. The record is from RefSeq and is a predicted model, not a curated record.